Molecule: unclassified non-coding RNA, 331 nt
Filed under: soil metagenome
Description: partial contains 5.8S ribosomal RNA, internal transcribed spacer 2, and large subunit ribosomal RNA
Rfam family: 5.8S ribosomal RNA (bases 1-120)
Source: RNAcentral
GAUGAAGAACGCAGCGAAAUGCGAUAAGUAAUGUGAAUUGCAGAAUUCAGUGAAUCAUCGAAUCUUUGAACGCACAUUGCGCCCCCUGGUAUUCCGGGGGCCAUGCCUGUUCGAGCGUCAUUUCACCACUCAAGCCUCGCUUGGUAUUGGGCAACGCGGUCCGCCGCGUGCCUCAAAUCGACCGGCUGGGUCUUCUGUCCCCUAAGCGUUGUGGAAACUAUUCGCUAAAGGGUGCUCGGGAGGCUACGCCGUAAAACAAACCCAUUUCUAAGGUUGACCUCGGAUCAGGUAGGGAUACCCGCUGAACUUAAGCAUAUCAAUAAGCGGAGGA